GGGGUUUCGUACGUAGCAGAGCAGC
This 25-nucleotide non-coding RNA is filed under the name Gallus gallus (chicken). Lineage: Eukaryota; Metazoa; Chordata; Aves; Galliformes; Phasianidae. RNAcentral also lists the same sequence under 6 other names. The record is from RNAcentral.